UCUCAAUGACUACUCAAUUUCCGACAGAGGCACAGUGGAAUUUAAUCACCAAUCUCUGGAUUGGAGGAGGAGCAACAAUAUCAGAGAUAAGGAAAUUUUAUUAUGGAAAACAGCAUUUAAUUUGAAAAACUAAAACCACAUAACAACCCUGCAUUUGUUGGCAACUACUGAUAAGGUCUUCGCUGCUCCCUUCUGUGGGGAUGACUGUUGCAGAACUUACUGCCAUUUUUCAGGUUAUUGCUGUCUGCAGGUGUUUUGGUGUGUUAUAAUUACAUAAAGUUUUCCAUUUUCCCAGGCUGUAACCUAAUAUGAAAUCCAGGUAAAC
This is a long non-coding RNA of Echinops telfairi (small Madagascar hedgehog), 325 nucleotides long. RefSeq lists it as uncharacterized. The transcript has 3 exons. The record is from RefSeq and is a predicted model, not a curated record. NCBI's taxonomy places the organism in Eukaryota, Metazoa, Chordata, Mammalia, Afrosoricida, Tenrecidae.